AGGAUACUAUGGUAAUUCUAGAGCUAAUACAUGCUUCCAAGCUCGACUUUCCGGAAGAGCUGCAGUUAUUAGAUCCCGAACUGACCCAGGGUUCCCCUGGACUCAAGUUGAUUCAUACUAACCGAGCGAAUCGUGUUUCACGAUUGGCCAAUCAAGUUUCUGACCUAUCAGCUUCCGGCGGUAGGGUAUUGGCCUACCGUGGCUUUGACGGGUAACGGAGAAUUAGGGUUCGAUUCCGGAGAGGGAGCCUGAGAAACGGCUACCACAUCCAAGGAAGGCAUCAGGCGCGUAAAUUACCCAAUCCUGAUACAGGGAGGUACUGACANGAGAUAUCAAUACAAGGCUUUAAUGUUUUGUAACUGGGAUGAGUAGAAUUUAGACCGCGAUACAUGUAUCAAUUGGAGGGCAAGUCUGGUGCCAGCAGCCGCGGUAAUUCCAGCUCCAAUAGCGUAUAUUAAAAUUGUUGCGGUUAAAACGCUCGUANUUGAAUAUUUGCUGAAAAUAGCUGGUCCAUCCUAGUGAUGAGCACCUGGCACGUUUUCAGCUCUUCGUUGGGGAUUCUGUUUGCACUUUACUGUGUGGCAUACGAACCAAUUCUUUUACUUUGAGGAAAUGAGAGUGUUUCAAGCAGGCGUUUGUCGUGAAUACGUUAGCAUGGAAUUAUAACACAGGACCUGGUUCCGAAAGUUGUUGGUUUUUGGANCGAGGUAAUCAAAAUAGGGAUAGUUGGGGGCAUUCU
RNAcentral lists this ribosomal RNA (739 nucleotides) under Uncultured marine alveolate Group I DH147-EKD2. RNAcentral's name for it is "SSU rRNA". It matches the Rfam family "Eukaryotic small subunit ribosomal RNA", at positions 140 to 894 of the family's 1831-position model. The record is from RNAcentral.